AUGAACGCUGGCGGCGUGCCUAAUACAUGCAAGUUGAGCGCUGAAGUUUGGUACUUGUACCAGACGGAGGAGCAGCGAACGGGUGAGUAACGCGUGGGUAACCUGCCUCAUAGAGGGGGAUAACUACUGGAAACGGUAGCUAAUACCGCAUAACACUUAGUGUCACAUGACACAGAGUUGAAAGUGCCAAUUGGUACACUAUGAGAUGGACCCGCGUUGUAUUAGCUAGUUGGUGAGGUAACGGCUCACCAAGGCGAUGAUACAUAGCCGACCUGAGAGGGUGAUCGGGCACACUGGGACUGAGACACGGCCCAGACUCCUAAGGGAGGCAGCAGUAGGGAAUCUUUCACAAUGGGCGAAAGCCUGAUGAAGCAACGCCGCGUGAAUGAAGAAGGGUUUCGGCUCGUAAAAUUCUGUUGCUAGAGAAGAACGUAUCAAGUAGGAAAUGGCUUGGUAGUGACGGUAUCUGGUUAGAAAGUCACGGCUAACUACGUGC
This 496-nucleotide ribosomal RNA is filed under the name uncultured Bacillota bacterium. RNAcentral describes it as "bacterial SSU rRNA". It matches the Rfam family "Bacterial small subunit ribosomal RNA", at positions 29 to 508 of the family's 1533-position model. Lineage: Bacteria; Bacillati; Bacillota. The record is from RNAcentral.